CUGGGAUGACACUGACGCUCAUGUACGAAAGCGUGGGUAGCAAACAGGAUUAGAUACCCUGGUAGUCCACGCCCUAAACGAUGUCAACUGGUUGUUGGGGGAGUGAAAUCCCUUAGUAACGAAGCUAACGCGUGAAGUUGACCGCCUGGGGAGUACGGUCGCAAGAUUAAAACUCAAAGGAAUUGACGGGGACCCGCACAAGCGGUGGAUGAUGUGGAUUAAUUCGAUGCAACGCGAAAAACCUUACCUACCCUUGACAUGUCCGGAAUCCUGCAGAGAUGCGGGAGUGCCCGAAAGGGAAUCGGAACACAGGUGCUGCAUGGCUGUCGUCAGCUCGUGUCGUGAGAUGUUGGGUUAAGUCCCGCAACGAGCGCAACCCUUAUCAUUAGUUGCUACGCAAGGGCACUCUAAUGAGACUGCCGGUGACAAACCGGAGGAAGGUGGGGAUGACGUCAAGUCCUCAUGGCCCUUAUGGGUGGGGCUUCACACGUCAUACAAUGGUCGGUACAGAGGGUUGCCAAGCCGCGAGGCGGAGCCAAUCCCAGAAAGCCGAUCGUAGUCCGGAUUGUUCUCUGCAACUCGAGAGCAUGAAGUCGGAAUCGCUAGUAAUCGCGGAUCAGCAUGUCGCGGUGAAUACGUUCCCGGGUCUUGUACACACCGCCCGUCACACCAUGGGAGUGGAAUCUGGCAGAAGUAGGUAGCCUAACCGCAAGGAGGGCGCUUACCACGCUGGGUUUCAUGACUGGGGUGAAGUCGUAACAAGGUAGCCGUAGGGGAACCUGCGGCUGGAUCACCUCCUU
RNAcentral lists this ribosomal RNA (800 nucleotides) under uncultured bacterium. RNAcentral's name for it is "bacterial SSU rRNA". It matches the Rfam family "Bacterial small subunit ribosomal RNA", at positions 729 to 1532 of the family's 1533-position model. The record is from RNAcentral.